This 1602-nucleotide long non-coding RNA is filed under the name Nicotiana benthamiana. Its description in RNAcentral is "long non-coding RNA (NBEN_LNC034355)". The record is from RNAcentral. Lineage: Eukaryota; Viridiplantae; Streptophyta; Magnoliopsida; Solanales; Solanaceae.
GUUUUUAGAAGGAAGAUCAGAAUUUUAUGCAGUAAUUGAUUGGGGCCUUUAAGAAAUGAUUUAACUAUUUUCUUGGGAAGAGAUGCUCUCCAGAAGUCUGCUGCGACCCAUAAGAAGGUGCAAUCCUCCUUUUUGAGCAAACAAAUGGUGCACUACUUACAAAGGAGGUGAGCAAUCUAUACUAUAUUCACUGCUGGUCUACAUGGAUGUCAAUGUAUAUGGUUCAGUACAAAGAUCAGUAAGGGUAGAUGUUCCAUAUUGUGUGCUGGCGGAUCACAUUGCAGCUCAAUGAAAUGGCUUGUUGGAGAAUGGGGGGAACCAGAAUCGACACACAUGGAAUACACCUGCAUGCUCAAGUUAUUGGAUCGGCAAGUAGUAUCUUUUUCAUACAAUUGGGCCUCUUCUUUAUUUUGUUUCAUUGUUAGUUUAGACUUCUUGAAGCUUUUUCAGUUGGUGAUAGCCUAAUGCUCAGAAGGAUACGGCAGUCGGAUCUCUCCAUCUCGCUUUCUAGAAAUAUUUGUUCUUUCCAGAUUGUGUUGUUCUUAGCACCUGGCUGUUGAAUUUAUUAUUGUUAUUAUUGUUAGAAGAAAUAGUGAGAUGGGUAAUAAAUGCCAAAUAUGCAUGGACCAGAUGCUAGUGUGGGCUUUAUCUUUGACUGUUGAAUUUAUUAUUGUUAUUGUUAGAAGAAAUGGUGAGAGAUGGGUAAUAAAUGCCAAAUAUGCAUAUGGACCAGAUUCUAGUGUGAGCUUUUGUCUUUGCCUUUUCUUUAUGUGGAUCAGCCUUGAUAGUGAGAUGGAAAGCAUUGUGCAAGUACAAAAUGCAGGACCCCCUUUCCCCUUCUCCUUCACACAUUCAUUCUCCCCCCUCAUAGUUUGUCACUGUGUGUUUGUGGGAUCCAUGUACCAGUCUUAUCCUUUCUAUCUUUCUAGGUUAUGAAUGGCCCUUAUUUUUCUCAUCUGUUUUCUCUGGAGAGUCUCUGUAGUGGGAAAGGAUAGUACAGCACAUCUCUUAUAUAUUUCAACUUUUAUGAUAAUUCAUUGAACAAAAUCUUAUUCUUUUGGAUAAGAGUCUUGAGGAGCCUGCUAUAUUAUCUGUAUGCUGCUGCAUUCUUGAUCUGUAUUGAGUAGAAUUCAAAGUGGGACCAAAUCACCAGCGGAUUGGUUUGAUGAUUUGGUUUUCAAGGAGGAGCAACUCAAAUGGUUCUAUUUGUGUAUGUUAUAUAUAUUUUCUUCUAUAUAACUGGUAUGUAAUAAUGAAGAGAAAUCUGCCUUCUGUGUUGAUAUUUUCUGUGUCAGGAUAAGGUAAAAAAGUAAAACCCUAUUUUAUCAAAGUGGGAUCUGAGUAUGCAAACUGAAUGAGUGAUGGGAAGCAAGACUUCCCUUUUCUUUUUUGUCUAUUAAACAUUUGUAGGAUAAGUGGGCCUGACCCCAUUUUGCUUCUCCUCCCAUUAGCAGUUAGCCACCUCAUUCUAUCUACUCUUCAUAUUUGCAAGAUGUUUGAUAAAUAAGUAUUGCUUAUUUGCCAAUUUUUGACUGCCAAAAUCUUUUAAAUGAGUAACAGACUUCGCUGUCAACACAAAAAAACUGUGUGCCCUUGGGAAGG